UACGUAGGGGACAAGCGUUGUCCGGAAUUAUUGGGCGUAAAGAGCGUGUAGGCGGCCUGAACGGUCAGCUGUGAAAACUCGAGGCUCAACCUCGAGACGUCGGUUGAAACCAUCUGGCUAGAGUCCGGAAGAGGAGUGUGGAAUUCCCGGUGUAGCGGUGAAAUGCGCAGAUAUCGGGAAGAACACCCGUGGCGAAGGCGGCACUCUGGGACGGUACUGACGCUGAGACGCGAAAGCGUGGGGAGCGAACAGG
This 253-nucleotide ribosomal RNA is filed under the name uncultured bacterium. RNAcentral describes it as "partial 16S ribosomal RNA". It matches the Rfam family "Bacterial small subunit ribosomal RNA", at positions 524 to 776 of the family's 1533-position model. The record is from RNAcentral.